RNAcentral lists this ribosomal RNA (497 nucleotides) under uncultured bacterium. Its description in RNAcentral is "partial 16S ribosomal RNA". It matches the Rfam family "Bacterial small subunit ribosomal RNA", at positions 28 to 507 of the family's 1533-position model. The record is from RNAcentral.
GAUGAACGCUGGCGGCGUGCCUAAUACAUGCAAGUCGAGCGAACAGACGCGGAGCUUGCUGGGCGGACGUUAGCGGCGGGGGGGUGAGACACACGUGGAUAACGUACCUAUAAGAGGGGGAUCACUUCGGGAAAGCGGAGCAUAUACCGGAUAAUAUAUUGAACCGCGGGGUGCAAUAGUAAGAGACGGUUUUGCGGUCACUAAUAGAGGGAUCCCAGCCGCUUUAGCUGGUUGGUAAGGUAAAGGCUUUCGACGGCGACGAUGCGUGGCCGAGCUGAGAGGGUGGUCGGCCACCCUGGAGCUGAGACACGGUCCUGACUCCUACGGGACGCAGCAGUAGGGAAUCUUCCGCAGUGGGCGAAAGCCUUACGGAGCGACGCCGCGUGAGUUAUGAAGGUCUUCGGAUCGUAAUACUCUGUUACUAGUGAAGAACAAAUGUGUAAGUAACUAAGCACUUCUUGACGGUACCUAAUCAGAAAGCCCCGGCUAACUACGUG